Molecule: ribosomal RNA, 253 nt
Filed under: uncultured bacterium
Lineage: Bacteria
Description: partial 16S ribosomal RNA
Rfam family: Bacterial small subunit ribosomal RNA
Source: RNAcentral
UACGUAGGGUGCGAGCGUUGUCCGGAAUUACUGGGCGUAAAGAGCUCGUAGGUGGUUUGUCGCGUUGUUCGUGAAAACUCACAGCUCAACUGUGGGCGUGCGGGCGAUACGGGCAGACUGGAGUACUGCAGGGGAGACUGGAAUUCCUGGUGUAGCGGUGAAAUGCGCAGAUAUCAGGAGGAACACCGGUGGCGAAGGCGGUUCUCUGGGCAGUAACUGACGCUGAGGAGCGAAAGCGUGGGGAGCGAACAGG